GAGGGGUAAUGGGGUUGGGGCCCCGACUGGUCUGCAAAACCAGAGUCACGGUUGGAAGAAACCGUGGUGGGUUCGAUUCCCACUGCCCCUCUCCA
Molecule: small RNA, 95 nt
Filed under: Nitrospirota bacterium
Lineage: Bacteria; Pseudomonadati; Nitrospirota
Description: Nitrospirae bacterium (groundwater metagenome) tRNA-Cys
Rfam family: Selenocysteine transfer RNA
Source: RNAcentral